This 379-nucleotide ribosomal RNA is filed under the name uncultured bacterium. RNAcentral's name for it is "partial 16S ribosomal RNA". It matches the Rfam family "Bacterial small subunit ribosomal RNA", at positions 355 to 719 of the family's 1533-position model. The record is from RNAcentral.
UGGGGAAUAUUGCACAAUGGGCGCAAGCCCUGAUGCAGCCAUGCCGCGUGUGUGAAGAAGGCCUUCGGGUUGUAAAGCACUUUCAGCGAGGAGGAAGGUGGUGAACUUAAUACGCUUCAUCAAUUGACGUUACUCGCAGAAGAAGCACCGGCUAAGCUCCGUGCCAGCAGCCGCGGUAAUACGGAGGGUGCAAGCGUUAAUCGGUAAUUACUGGGCGUAAAGCGCACGCAGGGCGGUUUGUUAAGUCAGAUGUGAAAUCCCCGGGCUCAACCUGGGAACUGCAUUUGAAAACUGGCAAGCUAGAGUCUCGUAAGAGGGGGGUAGAAUUCCAGGUGUAGCGGUGAAAUGCGUAGAGAUCUGGAGGAAUACCGGUGGCGAA